GAUGAACGCUGGCGGCGUGCCUAAUACAUGCAAGUCGAGCGAACAGACGAGGAGCUUGCUCCUCUGACGUUAGCGGCGGACGGGUGAGUAACACGUGGAUAACCUACCUAUAAGACUGGGAUAACUUCGGGAAACCGGAGCUAAUACCGGAUAAUAUAUUGAACCGCAUGGUUCAAUAGUGAAAGACGGUUUUGCUGUCACUUAUAGAUGGAUCCGCGCCGCAUUAGCUAGUUGGUAAGGUAACGGCCUACCAAGGCAACGAUGCGUAGCCGACCUGAGAGGGUGAUCAGCCACACCGGAACUGAGACACGGUCCAGACUCCCAAGGGAGGCAGCAGUUGGGAAUAUUUCCCAAUGGGCGGAAGCCUGAACGAGCCACCCCGCGUGGGUGAAGAAGGUCUUCGGGUUGUAAAACCCUUUUUUUAGGGAAGAACAAAUGUGUAAGUAACUAUGCACGUCUUGACGGUACCUAAUCAGAAAGCCACGGCUAACUACGUG
This 497-nucleotide ribosomal RNA is filed under the name uncultured bacterium. RNAcentral's name for it is "partial 16S ribosomal RNA". It matches the Rfam family "Bacterial small subunit ribosomal RNA", at positions 28 to 507 of the family's 1533-position model. The record is from RNAcentral.